GGUGGCUCAGUGGUAGAGUGCUUGCCUUGCAAGCCGGAGGCCCUGGGUUCGAUUCCUCAGCACCA
This is a non-coding RNA of Dipodomys ordii (Ord's kangaroo rat), 65 nucleotides long. Lineage: Eukaryota; Metazoa; Chordata; Mammalia; Rodentia; Heteromyidae. The record is from Rfam.